UGGCUGUGUAGCUCCUUGUCUACCCAUGAGAUCCUCAUUAAUACAUCGAACAAACUUGUAGCCGAGAAACAUUAUCAUUUUUGAUUCCUUUUCUCCAUUAUGAAACAUACAUUCCGGUGAUAUGCAUGUAAGUGGCGAAGUAAAUUUUGUACAGAAUUUUUUAUUGCAGAUUUCUUCUUCUCUAUUGAGUAAUCUUGACGAAUAACCAUGUUAUCUUGGUUGUUGAUGCUUCCAUGUUUUGUAACACUGUCCCUCUGCAAAAAAGAAGCAAAUGUUAAUGAAAAAAUUAUGUCCAUGUUCUCAUCUGGUCGAUCGUGGUGACUGCAUGCUGUAUUAAUGUUGAUUCCUUUUGUUUCUUCCCUUUCCUUCUUUAAUUUCUUGCAACUGUUAUUCUCAGGUUUUGACAUUGAAGCUUAUCCUCAUUAACCACCCUUCUGCUCGACGCAUCAAGUUCCCAGAAAUCACAACUCUCCAUGUUGCCACUGUCAAAUGCAUAAUUUGCAAGGUGGUCUGCUAGUUUGUUUCCUUGUCUGAAAAUGUGAGAUAUCUUGUAAUUACACCUGAUUUUGAGUCUGUUGAUUUCCUCCACGGCAUCCACAAUAUUCCAGGGUGGUUUCCACUAUCCAUCUAUGAUCUUUUGAAGUAUCAUUGAAUCUGUCUGAAGCCAAACAUUGUGGUGAUUCAUUGAUUUGCACAUUCUCAUUGCCUCUACUAUUGCUGUCGCCUCAGCUUCAUUGUUAGAACCCUCCUUAAAUUAUCUUCCUUCUGCAUAUAUCAAAUCACCUAUCUCAUCUCUUAAGCAAAAACCAAUUGAACUCCUCCCUGGGUUCCCUAUGCAUGCUCCAUCAGUAUUCACUUUGAUCCAGCCUGUUUGAGGAAAUUCCCAUAGCACUUUAUCAUAUUUCAAUCGAGGUGUGUAUUGCUCAUCAUUGUCAACAAGUCCAGCCAUUUGUGAGGCAC
This 960-nucleotide long non-coding RNA is filed under the name Nicotiana benthamiana. Its description in RNAcentral is "long non-coding RNA (NBEN_LNC009768)". Lineage: Eukaryota; Viridiplantae; Streptophyta; Magnoliopsida; Solanales; Solanaceae. The record is from RNAcentral.